Long non-coding RNA from Nicotiana tabacum (common tobacco), 1006 nucleotides. RefSeq lists it as uncharacterized. Lineage: Eukaryota; Viridiplantae; Streptophyta; Magnoliopsida; Solanales; Solanaceae. The record is from RefSeq and is a predicted model, not a curated record.
GUUCCAGUACUCUGUGUCUCUAAGACUAACGCAACGCCUAAACCUAAUUCCUAAAUAAUCAAAAAGAGUAAAGACAGAAUCACAGAAACCCGUCACUAACGCCUAAGGCCCUAAACCAGCAGCCACCAGUCCUCGUCGACUUUCACCAGCCACCUCGCCCCGUCUCGCCUCUCCCUCUUGCCACAGUCAGCAGAUGGUAAGUUUCUUUUCUUGUUGAGUGUGAUUUUACUUGCAAAAGUUUCCACAAGCAAGCAAAAAGAUAGUCGAAUUCAGAAAAGGUCCUUCCUGUUUAUUUGAAAAGGUCCUACUUUUUUUUUACACUCGCAAUACUGAACUAGCAAUGGAUUUGUUUCCACAAAAGGUAAGUUUCAAUGAUCGAUCGAAUUCAGUGUUUUAACUUGUUCCCGAAUUUGAUUUGUCUUAGGUGCUUGGUAUUCGUUAUUAAUUUGUUGCCAAACGAUUUGUUGGUUUACAGAAAUUUUGGAUAUCUGAGUAUUGAUUAGUUGAUUUUAGAUUCAGUUUGACACAUUUGUUCGAUUAUUUCAUGGGGUUUCUGUUCCAAAAGUUGUUGAAAUAAGAAGUGCCAUUGAUUGUUUCACGAAAUGAAAGAAGAGGAGAUCUUUCUGACAACAUGGGAUGCUUUGCGGUCCAUUACAACUUGAUUCUUUGAUAGUGAGACUGUGAAGUGAGACUGCGACUUUAAUUGCUGCAGUACAUAUGAGUACAGAAAUUGGACACUUCUUUUGACAAUUUCGCGUUUCAUUUCGGGUUUAUUGGUUGUUUUCUACCCAGGCUCCCUAAGUUUAUUUGGCCAGAAAAGCUUCAGUUAUAGUUGAUGCUGAAAUUUGGUUACGAAAGACUUCAUUAUAUGUCCUAAAUGUGUCAUUGACUGAAAUGUUUGUUUUGUUAUCAGUAAGGACGUUGUAAUAUGCUAUAUGCAUCAUUGAUACUGAAACUUCUGUUUGGUUAUCAUUUAAUUGAAGUACCAUAUUUUGAUCCUCUAGCA